RNAcentral lists this ribosomal RNA (1969 nucleotides) under human gut metagenome. RNAcentral describes it as "bacterial LSU rRNA". It matches the Rfam family "Bacterial large subunit ribosomal RNA", at positions 1 to 2000 of the family's 2925-position model. The record is from RNAcentral.
AAAAACAAACAAGGGCAUACGGGGAAUGCCUAGGCUCUGCAAGGCGAAGAAGGACGUGAUAAGCUGCGAAAAGCCGCGGGGAGGUGCAAAUAACCGAUAAUCCGCGGAUAUCCGAAUGGGGCAACCCACCAUAUAAAUGGUACCUCGAAACGAGGAGCGAACCCUCUGAACUGAAACAUCUAAGUAAGAGGAGGAAGAGAAAACAACAGUGAUACCGCAAGUAGUGGCGAGCGAACGCGGCACAGCCCAAACCGGACACGUUUAGGCGUAUCCGGGGUAGUAGGACUGCGAGAUACAAGUAUAAAAAGAACCGGAACGGCAUGGAAAGGCCGUCCGUAGAAGGUGAAAGACCCGUACGGGCAAUUUUUAUACGCGUUAGCAGUAUCCUGAGUAGGUCGGGGCACGAGAAACCCAGACUGAAACCGGCGGGACCACCCGCCAAGGCUAAACACUCAGCAGAGACCGAUAGUGAACAAGUACCGUGAGGGAAAGGUGAAAAGAACCUUGAAUAAAGGAGUGAAAAAGACCCUGAAACCGUAUGCCUACAAGCGGUCGGAGCCCAUUCAUUGGGUGACGGCGUGCCUUUUGCAUAAUGAUCCUACGAGUUACUGUUACCGGCAAGGUUAAGCGCUUCAGGCGCGUAAGCCGCAGCGAAAGCGAGUCUUAAAAGGGCGAAUUAGUCGGUAGUAGUAGACGCGAAACCUUGUGAUCUACCCAUGGCCAGGUUGAAGUGGGGGUAACACCCCAUGGAGGACCGAAUCGGUAAGCGUUGAAAAGCUUUCGAAUGAGCUGUGGGUAGGGGUGAAAGGCCAAUCAAACUGGGAAAUAGCUCGUACUCCCCGAAAUGCAUUUAGGUGCAGCGUCGCGGUUAAGUGAUAUAUAGGUAGAGCUACUGAUUGAAUGCGGGGGCUUCACCGCCUACCAAUUUCAGACAAACUCCGAAUAGUAUAUCACAUACGCGGCAGUGAGGGCAUGGGUGCUAAGGUCCAUGCCCGAGAGGGAAACAACCCGGACCAACAGCUAAGGUCCCCAAAUAUACGCUAAGUUGAAAAAACGAAGUAGAACUGCACAGACAGCCAGGAAGUUGGCUUGGAAGCAGCCAUUCUUUUAAAGAGUGCGUAACAGCUCACUGGUCGAGCGGUUCUGCAUGGAGAAUAAGCGGGCAUAAGCGUAUUACCGAAGCUAUGGCAGAUAAGAAUCUGGGUAGGGGAGCAUUCCGUACAGCGCAGAAUCGGUAUUGUAAAGUACCGUGGAGCGUACGGAAAAGCAAAUGUAGGAAUAAGUAACGAUAAAGCGGGCGAGAAACCCGCUCACCGAAAGACCAAGGGUUCCCCGGCUAUGUUAAUCAGCCGGGGGUCAGUCGGGCCCUAAGGACAAGCCGAAAACAGGCUACUCCGAUGGACAAACGUUUAAUAUUACGUUACUCGUAUCGAGUGCGACGGGGCGACCUGGUAAUACCUCUUCGCGUGCUGACGGAAUAGCACGUUAAAGACUUUACUGGGCCGGGAGGCAAAUCCCCCGGCGGAAAGGUAAAGUUGAUAGUACACCCAAGCUACGGCGACGGUGAUAGCAAGACUAAAGAUCAGCAAGAAAAACCUCUAAGCUUCAGCUCGAUACGACCCGUACCGGAAACCGACACAGGUGGUCGAGAAGAGAAUUCUAAGGUGCUCGAGAGAUUCAUGGCUAAGGAACUAGGCAAAAUAGACCUGUAACUUCGGGAAAAAGGUCACCGCAGCAAUGCGGUCUCAGAAAAUAGGUCCAGGCGACUGUUUAACAAAAACACAGGACUUUGCAAAAUCGAAAGAUGACGUAUAAGGUCUGACACCUGCCCGGUGCUGGAAGGUUAAGAGGAGAUGUCCGCAGCAAUGCAAAGCAUUGAAUUGAAGCCCCAGUAAACGGCGGCCGUAACUAUAACGGUCCUAAGGUAGCGAAAUUCCUUGUCGGGUAAGUUCCGACCUGCACGAAUGGU